This 497-nucleotide ribosomal RNA is filed under the name uncultured bacterium. RNAcentral describes it as "partial 16S ribosomal RNA". It matches the Rfam family "Bacterial small subunit ribosomal RNA", at positions 28 to 507 of the family's 1533-position model. The record is from RNAcentral.
GAUGAACGCUGGCGGCGUGCCUAAUACAUGCAAGUCGAGCGCUGACGGAUGGUGCUUGUACCAACUGGGUUAGCAGCGAACGGGUGAGUAACGCGUGGGGAAUCUGCCUUUGAGCGGGGGACAACAUCUGGAAACGAAUGCUAAUACCGCAUAAUACCUUUAACCACAAGUUUCAAGUUUGAAAGAUGCAUUUGCAUCCCUCAAAGAUGGUCCCGCGUUGGAUUAGUUAGGUGGUGAGGGAAAGGCCCACCAAGGGGAACAUACGUAGCCGACCUGGGAGGGUGAUCGGCCACAUCUGGACUGGGACACGGGCCAAGCUCCCUCGGGAAGGAGCAGGAGGGGAUCUUCGGCCAUGGAGGGAAGUCUUACCGAACAACGCCGCGGGAGUGGAGGAGGGUUUCGGGUUGUAAAACCCUGUUUGUAGGGGAGAAAGUGGGGGAGAGUGAAAAGCUCAUCAAGUGACGGUAACUAACCAGAAAGGGACGGCUAACUACGUG